RNAcentral lists this long non-coding RNA (8115 nucleotides) under Equus asinus (donkey). RNAcentral describes it as "lncRNA (ENSEASG00005026451.1)". Lineage: Eukaryota; Metazoa; Chordata; Mammalia; Perissodactyla; Equidae. The record is from RNAcentral.
AAAGAGACCCAGGUGGGACCUGGGGAACACCAGCGCUUAAAAGGGGAUGAAGGGAAGUUGGCAGCAAAGGGGGCUGAGAAGGAGUUAGGAGGAGAGUGAGGGUAGAGGGGUGGGUAGAGAAGGAAUGCUAGGACCCUAUUUCACAAACGACCCUGGGUCAGGCAGGGGGUACAAGGAUGCACCCGAGUGAGUCCCUUUCCUCCAAGGGCAUGGAAGACAGGCCACCACAGUACCACACGGUAAAUGCAACUCAGAGCAAGAUGUAAGGUGAGUGGAAACCCAGGAAAGAUGCUCAGCCCAAAGCGGGCAGUGUGCCCGGUGCUCUGAGCAAGGGGAUUGACCCAGAGGUCUUGACUUCUGGUGUAAUGGACCCCUCAGAACCAGACAAAAGCUAAGGACGCUCUCCUCAGAGCAAUGCAUGCAUUCGGAAGUACGAAGAGUCAGGACUCCAACGUAUCUUUUUGGGGAACACAGUUCACCCCAUACAUGCUGUGAGCGAAUUUGCUUUUCCCUAACAACACCCACCCUGAACACCCUCUGGACUGUGGCGUCCUCCCCAGAGCCCCCGGCAACUGCAGACCUGGCCAAGCAGGGAACUGUGGGUGCUUUCACAGCCCAGGACUGGGCAUGACUCCCCUCCAGGACGAUGUUGUGAGUAAGAAUGUGCUGGUAAUGCACAGCAUGCAGCUUAGAGUGCUGGGCUUGCUGCUCACCAGCCUGUAAUUUCCCCCAACCUCAGCAAGGAUGUCUUGGUGGCAGGGGCUGCUGAAUUCCAUCCCAGGAACGUGCGGAAGGAGGUGGCACUGGUGACUCUGCUUUUGAGAGAAGAAGCACGAUAAGAAUAGCAAGAAUAACAUAGGCUGACUUCAGACAAACAUGUCGGGGCUUGAAGCACCGAGACUCCAGUGAGGGGGCCUCCCACAGAGCUUUUGGAUGUCCCUCUAAGCAAGGUUGUCCACGCAGAAGCAGAGAGGCACUGGCUGGACAGGAGUGUUCUCUCACAGCCUUGAAUUGAUGCUCUGCCCCUGGAUCACAGCACCUGUGUGAGUUAAUAAUGUUUACUAAUCCUGUCGUUAUCUGUGCAUAGCACUGUUCUGGUGUAAAUAUUUUUAAAAGAUUUAAAUCUAUAGAUUACCAGUAUGUGGUGAGUUGAAUAACGGUUCCCAAAGAAAUCAGGCUCUAAUCCCUUAAAACCUGUAAAUGUUACCUUAUCUGGCCCCAAAUGUGAUUAAGCUAAGGAUUUUGAGAUGGGGAGAUUAUUCUGGAUUAUCUGGGUGGGCCCUAAAUGCCACCACAAGGACUCCUAUGAGAGGGAGGCAGCGGGGGACAUUACCGCAGAAGAGGAGAAGGCCACGCGGCCACAGAGGCGGAGACUGGCGUGAUGCAGCCAGGGAGCUAGAAGCCGACAGACGCCGGACGAGGCAGGAAGGGACUCGCCCCUGGAGCCUCACCCAGCGAAAACUGAUUUCAGACUUGUGGCCUCCAGAGUGAGAGAGAAUACAUUUCUGCUGUUUGAAGGCACCACACCUGCGGUGGCUUGUUACAGCAGCCACAGGAAACUAAAGUACAGUGACACACGGUUGUCAUUAAACUGUAAUUAGGAUAAUAUUGUCUUACCGAAAAUGCAAAAUUAAUGUGAUUUUGCUGCAAGGUUCUGACAUUUUGCAUCACUUGAAACUACAUCAAUCUUUUUGGUCUUUUGGGCAGAGAAAUAAAAUAUUUCAUCACUUGCAUGGGUACGCGUCAGAAGUACUAACUUAAUAAAAAGAACGUGUAGAAUAUGCCAGUUUUAGAAAUCCUAUUUUGAUAUUUCUUGAUUUUUAAAAAAACAGACUGGGAGCCUCAGAGAAAGGAGGUGGCCUUGGCCUCUGAGAGGCCCUCGCUGGUCAGUACCAUGUGCUCCCACCCCCUGGGGAUCCAGUUGACACUGGUGCACUGAUGACCGUCACUGGGUGUCCUGUGCACCAAGAGGGAUGAUCCCACAGGGCCUGGCCGGGUUCCCGGCUCACACGCCUGAGUCUCCAGCUGCCGAGAUUCCAUCUGUUGCCUGCGCGGCCAGGGCCCUGCAGAGCCACCAGGGGAUAUCCUGCACACGCAAGAGUGGGAACCUCCGCCUCGGGACUGGGAGGGAGAGGUGCCUAAACUUUGAGGACUCCAGCUGAUUCACACGCCCAGAGAGGCUUCCCGGCGAAUGACAGCCUGUGUAUCAGGCCAGGAGAGGGGCCCGGGCUGGGCUGGUGAGACUCGGCACCGCUCUUUCAGUUCACUGGAUCCCUUUUCUCAGCCAAGCGACCCUGGCAGGUUUCCCAAGGGAUGAAAACCCUGCGUGGGGGAGUGAGGUAAGUACAUCGGGGUCCACACUUCCGAGUUCGUGCCUCUCCAGGACCUCGAUGCUUCUGGAGCCAGAGCUGCAGUCUGAACUGGGGGAAUGAGGGAAGAUCAGAACUUCCAGAGACGUGAGGCCGAGGGUCAGUUUCCAGUAGAACAAAGCUGUUGAGGGAAAACGAAUAGGAAUUUAGAAACCGGGAAGGUGAGUCAAGGCUGGUGGUUCGGAAUGGAGACUGUGAAAAUGCCAGGCUGUCCAGAGGCCUGUUUGUAAGCCGUGCUCGCUGCGUGGCGCAGGAGCAGCUCUAGGGCAUUAAAAAGAAGGGUUCAGAAUGCCUCACUCAGCCGCCUAGUCCUCCAGGCUUGGUGGGGUGAGGUGGAGGAAUCUUCAUUUCUAACCAGCACUUCACAUGGUUCUAGUGUAUAUGCCUUAUGGGAGGACGUGUGCAUAUCUAUGUCUGUAUGUGCAUGUGUGUGUUUCAACACGGAUGUGUACCUAUAUUUGUGUGUGUUUGUGUUAUCAGUGUGCAUAUGUAAACGUGUAUGUGUGUACUUGUGUGCAUGUAUCUAUGUGUCUUUAUACGUGUACAUGGGUUUGUGUUUGUGUGUCUGCGUGUGCACAUCUUUGUGUGGUGUGUUUUCCUAGGCGGACUCCAGGGGAGCUGGUGACUGGCCGGAAGGCGGAGAGAGGGAAGGGGGUGGUCAAGGAUAGCUGAUGAGCCUUGCCUGGGGACUCGGUGACUACGAUUCCAGGAGAGUGACUGGCCCACGUUGUAAAUGAUACUGCACAGCUGAGCACAUGUGCACACUAGUAGUUACACCAUUCCAAGUUACCAGGAGGGCAGUUUUGGUCCUAAGUCGAAACCCUGCCACAGAAAGAACCACCGUGGCCCGGCAAAGGAGCCCGAGGGGAGGCCCCCUCCAGUCGAAGCCUCUGGAGUUCUCUUCGUCCUCAGCAUCCUGCUCCUGGCUGGUCACACUGAGUGCAGAGCAGACAGCCUCCUGGGCUACGUUUCUUCCCAUCCAGACCCCAUUACCUGCGGAGCCCCUCACCGUACUUCUGAGGCUCUGGGCUGCUCUUGCUAACCCAUCUUAGCGAGUGUGGGGAAGAGUGUCUCUCCCACAGGCCCUGCUGUGGCUUCCGGUGACCCAUGGGGGCUCCUCUCUGCUUUGUCUCUGCACCACAUCCAGCCACAGGAGGGCUGUGUGGACCACCCUGACUUAUGGCAGGAAGAGAACAACUUUCCAGUCCAGUGACAACUAGAAAGGUCUCCCCAUUGUGCGGGGAGCCAUCAACUCCACGUUAAUUCCCCUCCCCUCCCCCCACCCACCAGUGGCCCAGGCUUAACCAUUUCAUAACCAGUGUAUACACCUGGUGACGCUGCUCUGUGGACCUUUGCCGUGGCUGCUUCCCCUCUGUUGGAGUAGAACAAGAGAGGGGCGGCAAAACCAGCCAGUGGUGGGGGCUUUAGCAGCAGCUGCUGCAAGGAUGCCUAGAGCCAACAGGGCCUCACAGGCCAGGGGUGGGCAGGGACAGUGCAAAGGAGAGCAUAAGCCGCAGCAGCACAGCGGGGAGUCCGUGAGGGGCUUGCCAUGCAAAUAAGAGAAACCCAGUUCAAGCAGCCGCUGCAUGCCCCAAGACACAGGCUGGUUGCUUGUCUCUUCUGUCCCCGCCCCCGUCCCUGUCUGUCCUCCCAGCUGCUCCCCUGGGCUCUCAAGACGGGCUCCGUAGGGCCAGGCCUCAGACUCCGGCAAUGACACAACUUCUGUAGCUUUUGUCUCCUUUUAAAGAUGAAAAAAAUCCUUCUCCGGAGCCUCACAUUUCAUUGGCCAGAACUGCUUCACCUGCCCAUGCCUGAUCAGUCAUUUGUCAGGGAAAAUGAGCCAGCACGAUGGCUGUGGACCGAUUAGAAUUCACGCCCGUGGGCUUGGCGGUCCCGGUCUUCCCUGAGGAGCAGGGUGAACCAAGUUGGGGGCCAGUUCGUAGGAAGACAUGGGGGUGAGGGCGUUGGUCAGGCCACAGUGUCUGCCAGAGAGAGAACGAGGGGGCUAGGUGUUCAGGAACCACAUCGGAGUCCAAAAAAGGGAGGGCUUGAAGCUGAGCCAGAAUCCCUUGUUCCCUCUGCAUUGCUUUGACCCCAGCCGACUGUGGCCUAAGGUGACAUGGGCUGUUGGUAGUCCUGUCCUGGAUUAUUCCAAGGACAGUGGCCCACUUACGCUCUCGCUCACUGCCACCCUGGAAGUGGUUCUGAGUGAGCUUUGGGGAAGCAUGGCCACCAUAAGGCAGGAGGCCCAAGGCCUGUGGACUCUGACGGAUGGCUGGGGUCUGGGGACAUCGGAGCAUGGUCGUGAGGGUGCUGGGAAGGACGGAAGGGAGGCAGCCAAGGGAGGGGAGGCCCUCAGGGCUGUGGGUUCCAGUGAGUGUGGGGAGCAGAAGCAGGGUUUGAAGACCUGUGAGCAUCUCUGCCACCCAACUCAAAGGGGCCCCAGGGGCCUUUCCAGAGCAGGGAUCGGAGGGAGAGGACCAAGUCUCCUGGCGGGAAGAGAAGAAGGUGAGCACAGUCCGCUGAGUCCUUCUGCAGAUUCGAGGGACCUCAAGUUCUAAUGGGGACCUCCAGAGAUGACUGCUUGCAAAACACCUUGGAGCCGGGUACCUGAGUGUGGUUCACCCCCCGAGAUGUGCUCGUCCUAGACCCCAGAUCCUGUGGAUAUGUUACUUUACAGGGUAAAAAGGACUUUGCAGAUGAGACUAAGUCGGGAUCUUGAGAUGGGGAGGUUAUCCUGGUUCUCCAGGUGGACUCAGUGUAGUACAAGGAUCCUUCUAGGAGGGAGGCAGAAGGUCAUGGAGGAGAGAAGAUGCUACACCACUGGCUUUGAGGAUGGAGGAGGGGCCAUAAGUCAAGGAAUGUAGGCGGUUUCUAGAAGCUGGAAAAGGCUAGGCACAGAUUCUCACCAUAUUAGUUUCCUGCGAUUGCUGUAACACAUGACCUCAAAUUUGGUAGCUUAAAACCACAGAAAUUUAUUCUCUUACAGUUCUGGAGGCCAGAAGCCGGAGAUCAUAGCGUCGAAAUGCAGGCCCCACUGCAGGCUCGGGGGGAGUCCGUGCUCUGCUGCCUCCAGCUUCGGGCGGCUGUCGACUUUCUCUGGUUUGUGGCAGCAUCAUUCCAGUCUCUGGCACACAGUCACACUGCCUUCUCCAUUCUCUGUCUUCUUGUCCGUCUGUCCGUGUGUCUCUCUGAUAAGGAUACACGUGGCUGCAUUUAGGGCCCACCUGGGAAAUCCAAGAGAAGCUCCUCCUCUCAGCAUCCUUAGCUUAAUCCCACGCUUUUCCAUAUAAGGUAAUGUGCACUCUUUUGCCAUAUAAGGUGCUAUUCUCAGGACCCCGGGAUGAGGACGUGGACAUAUCUUUUGGGGGCCACUGUUCAGCCCCCUACACUCACCUAGAGCCUCCAGGAGGACCCCGCCCUGCCGACACCCUUAGUCCUGUUAAGAUCUGACUCCCAGAACUGCAGAAUAAACUCACAUUGCUCAAGGCCGUGAGCGUUGACUGUGUUUCACAUACUGUUGAAUGUCCUGGGGACAUAUUGACGAGGAAGACACGCAAGAUGCCCACCCCACAGAGCAUAAGGUCUAGUGAAACAUACAGGCAUUCUUUCUGCCAACGGUACCCGGAUUUUCCUUUAGGGAAUUUACUCAUCCACCAUUCCCAGCCGUGCAGUAGAAUGAGUAGGAAGUGAGGAGUCUGGAGUAUUUAUUACUGUUAUGUGAGUAAAAUUCAUUAUAGAUAGAUGAUAGAGAGAGAUAGCUAGAUAUCGAUAGCUAGAGAGAUGUAAAUAGAUAGAUAGAGAUAGAUAGACGUUAAUAGAUAGAGAGAGACAGAGACAGAAAGAGACAGAGGUGAUAGAUAGACAAGAACUGGUUGUUAAACAUUCACCAGCACACGGCUGUCUGUAGAGGUGGAGGGAUAUGACUCAAAUCUGAUAUAAACAUCUAUUUUUUACAUCUGUCUGGGCUCCCUGAGUUCCCAGCCAACACCAAAACUGUUUAUUUAAUAAGGGGAAGUUCCAUCCCUCCUUCCACCAUUAGGGACCAGUUAGAUGAGGGGGUCUGUGGGGCCUGGGAGCGUGGCUGUGCUCAUCUGCACCUGGAUCACAGCGUUCAGUGGAACUAAGCCGAGAAACGCAUCGCGGUUCCAUCUCUGCUAAGCUGCUGGCAGAAUGAUGUUGAAAAGAGAAGAUUGAGAGAGCAGGAGUCCUGGGUGCCUGGAAUUACUCUCUGGAAGACGAAUGUGUGAUCUGGGCACAGAGCCGCUGUGACCUUCAGAAUGGCUGUGCCAGCACGUCCAGGGCUGGAGGACCAGGCUGGGGUCUGCACAGACCUCCUGUGAAAGACACUGCAGAAGGCAGCCCGUGGACGGGGUGGACAUGUUUGCGGCAUCCAACAAAGGUACACAGUUGUAUAUUCUUCGUUGUGGGUCCUUCUAGUUGUGGCGUGUGGGAUGCUGCCUCAGCGUGGUUUGAUGAGCAGUGCCAUGUCUGCGCCCAGGAUUUGAACCAACGAAACACUGGGCCGCCUGCAGCGGAGCGCACAAACUUAACCACUCGGCCAUGGGGCCAGACCCCAUUUUAACCAUUUUAAAGUGUACAAUUCAGUGGCAUUUACUACAUUCACAGUAUUGGGCAACCGUCACCAUUAUCUGGCUCCAGAACAUUUCAGCACCCCAAAAGGGAAAUUCUGUACCCAUCAGCAGUCAGUCCCAAUGCCUCCCAACUCCUGGCAACCACUAAUCUACUUUCCAUCUCUAUGCGUUUGUCUGUUCUGGACAUUUUGUAUAAAUGGAGUCAUAUAUUAUGUGGCCUUUUGUGUCUGGCUUCUUUCACUUGGCAUCACCUUUUCACGAUUCAUCCGUGUUACAGUAUGUGCAGGACUUCCUCCUCUUUGAUGACUGAAUAAUAUCCCAUCGCGUGGAUAUACCACGUCUCCAUGUCUGUUCUUGAAGGAACAGGAGUAGAGAAGAUUCUCCAUGGCAGGUGUAUGCUGGGGGCUGGGCAAACACAGCCAGGAGCACAAAUGACACUGGGCUUCUGGGCAGUGGGGAGCGGCUGCAGCCCCCUGGAAAAGCCUUUUAACCCUGCCUUGUCCCCAUCAUUCAGAUGGCUUAUCCAAACGUCCCAGGGGAAACAGGAGGUCUCCUGGUCCAGCAAGGGAGGCUGUGGAUGGGUGAGCCCCUGGACACCGUCUCCAGCAUCCCUUCUGUGCCCACUUGGGCUUCCCCAGCCCAGCAGGGGGCGCUGGGGCAAGUCUGGUUCCAAGAAAUGGUCUCCUACUUGGGAUACUGGUGAAUUUCCACCUUUCAGUGUUUUUUUCCUCAGCUUACUUCCCAGGUAUUCGAGUGAUGGGAACUUUGCGUUUGGGGAGUGCUAGACCGUUCCCGGUUCUGGUCUGCAGCCAGUGGGAGUGUGUGAAAGACAAAUUCCCCAUCUCAGUGGGGUCAGAAUGGGUCUGACAAGCCUUCCAGCUGAUGCUUGUGCAUCCCAGGCUCAGGAUGCUCCACAAGACCCUCCUCAAGUUCAUGCCCAGAGCGGGAGCGUGUCCUUUCUGCAGACAGUAGAGGGCUGCCUCCCAAAUGAUCGUUGCUAGGCUGAGCGCUCCUGUCUCUUCUUUGUGAAUCCAUUCAGGAGAACCAACCUGAGUGGUGGCUUAUUCUGUGGGCCACACCCGUAACAUUUCGUUCAUUCAUUCAUUCAUUCAUUCAACGAAACUUUGUCCUAUGCCGGGCACCAUGCUGGC